AUUGGCCUAUCAGCUUGUUGGUGGGGUAGUGGCCUACCAAGGCGACGACGGGUAGCCGGCCUGAGAGGGCGACCGGCCACACUGGGACUGAGACACGGCCCAGACUCCUACGGGAGGCAGCAGUGGGGAAUAUUGCGCAAUGGGCGGAAGCCUGACGCAGCGACGCCGCGUGGGGGAUGACGGCCUUCGGGUUGUAAACCUCUUUCAGCAGGGACGAAGUUGACGUGUACCUGUAGAAGAAGCGCCGGCUAACUACGUGCCAGCAGCCGCGGUAAUACGUAGGGCGCAAGCGUUGUCCGGAAUUAUUGGGCGUAAAGAGCUCGUAGGUGGCUUGUCGCGUCUGCCGUGAAAGCCCAUGGCUUAACUGUGGGUCUGCGGUGGAUACGGGCUGGCUAGAGGUAGGUAGGGGCAAGCGGAAUUCCUGGUGUAGCGGUGAAAUGCGCAGAUAUCAGGAGGAACACCGGUGGCGAAGGCGGCUUGCUGGGCCUUACCUGACGCUGAGGAGCGAAAGCGUGGGGAGCGAACAGGAUUAGAUACCCUGGUAGUCCACGCUGUAAACGUUGGGCGCUAGGUGUGGGGUCCUUCCACGGAUUCCGUGCCGGAGCUAACGCAUUAAGCGCCCCGCCUGGGGAGUACGG
RNAcentral lists this ribosomal RNA (638 nucleotides) under uncultured Actinomycetes bacterium. RNAcentral describes it as "bacterial SSU rRNA". It matches the Rfam family "Bacterial small subunit ribosomal RNA", at positions 232 to 885 of the family's 1533-position model. The record is from RNAcentral. Lineage: Bacteria; Bacillati; Actinomycetota; Actinomycetes.